This 71-nucleotide microRNA precursor is filed under the name Tursiops truncatus (common bottlenose dolphin). RNAcentral describes it as "miRNA (ENSTTRG00000025349.1)". Lineage: Eukaryota; Metazoa; Chordata; Mammalia; Artiodactyla; Delphinidae. The record is from RNAcentral.
GGGUUGGCCAAAAAGUUCGUUCGGGUUUUUCAUAACAUGGAAAAACCUGAAUGAACUUUUUGACAAGCCCA